Molecule: long non-coding RNA, 235 nt
Organism: Passer domesticus (house sparrow)
Lineage: Eukaryota; Metazoa; Chordata; Aves; Passeriformes; Passeridae
Exons: 3
Source: RefSeq, a predicted model, not a curated record
AGGACAGGAAUGGGUGCACCAACACUGCAAAUCCAUCUGCAGCCACACAGCAGAAAGGAUAUGCAUUUUGUGCUGCUGUGAGCAGCUGUAUUCAUCCAUGGGCUGAGAAAGAAGGUAAAAGGAACCCUCAUGAGUGAACAAGAAGUGGCUGGCCUGCUUGCCCAGCUUUGCAGUCUCAAGAUGAUGCCUUCCUUAAUAAGAAACUAAACAUCCCUCCCUGAGCAAGUGCUGUGAG